GCUGGAUACAGUGGUGCAUGUCUGUAAUCCAUCUACUUGGGAGGCUGAAGUAGGAGGAUCACAAGUUUUUGGUUUUGGUUUGGUUUGGUUUUUUGUUUGUUUUUGUUUUACAAGUUUGAGGCCAGCCUCAGCAACUUAGUGAGAUACUAUCUCAA
Molecule: small RNA, 155 nt
Filed under: Marmota monax (woodchuck)
Lineage: Eukaryota; Metazoa; Chordata; Mammalia; Rodentia; Sciuridae
Source: RNAcentral